Molecule: non-coding RNA, 125 nt
Organism: Triticum aestivum (bread wheat)
Lineage: Eukaryota; Viridiplantae; Streptophyta; Magnoliopsida; Poales; Poaceae
Source: Rfam
CACAUACUCCCUCCGUCCGGAAAUACUUGUCGAAUGAAUGGAUUUAUCUAGUCAUAUUUUAGUUUUAGAUGUAUCCAGUUUUAUUCAUUUGUGUGACAAGUAUUUCCGGACGGAGGGAGUACUAG